Molecule: ribosomal RNA, 789 nt
Filed under: Coleoptera sp. NZAC 03010432
Lineage: Eukaryota; Metazoa; Arthropoda; Insecta; Coleoptera
Description: eukaryotic LSU rRNA
Rfam family: Eukaryotic large subunit ribosomal RNA
Source: RNAcentral
UACGUGAAACCGUUCAGGGGUAAACCUGAGAAACCCGAAAGAUCGAAAGAGAAAAUUCAUCGUGUUUCGGUGUGAUGUUAUUUUGUGGAGUGACAAAUGGUGUUAAAACCGUUCUGCGCCUGCUUUUUAUCAAAUCAUGCCGAAUGCGUGCACUUUUUCUCUAGUAGGACGUUGCGAUCCGUUGAGUGUAGACUUAAGGCCCGCAUAGGAGCCCAUUCGGUUUGGCUUCGGUCACUCAGUUUGGACGUGUGGUGUCCCGGUCUACUCGCUCGACGGUAUAUAGAUGGCAUAGAGCCGCAUUUAUGCGUUCAGCCUGUGGCAAGCACUUUCCUGCGUUGGCAGUCGGACCUAGCGCCGGCUCUGACCUGGCAAGACUGUUGGCCAUAGUGUUCUUGAACCGACUCUAUUUUUUAAGCCGAUCUGCGACGCUUUAGCUUUGGGUACUUUCAGGACCCGUCUUGAAACACGGACCAAGGAGUCUAGCAUGUGCGCGAGUCAUUGGGUAUUACAAAACCUAAAGGCGAAAUUAAUGUAAAGGUUUGACUUUGUGCAGACUUAGGGAAGAUGGGUGGUUCACAUUAACUGUGGCCGCUCCGCACUCCCGGGGCGUCUCAUUCUCAUUACGAGAAGAGGCGCACCAAGAGCGUACACGCUGGGACCCGAAAGAUGGUGAACUAUGCCUGGUCAGGACGAUAGUCAGGGGAAACCCUGAUGGAGGUCCGUAGCGAUUCUGACGUGCAAAUCGAUCGUCGRAACUGGGUAUAGGGGCGAAAGACUUAUCGAACCAUC